This 486-nucleotide ribosomal RNA is filed under the name uncultured bacterium. RNAcentral's name for it is "partial 16S ribosomal RNA". It matches the Rfam family "Bacterial small subunit ribosomal RNA", at positions 30 to 507 of the family's 1533-position model. The record is from RNAcentral.
AUUGAACGCUGGCGGCAUGCCUUACACAUGCAAGUCGAACGGCAGCACGGGUGCUUGCACCUGGUGGCGAGUGGCGAACGGGUGAGUAAUACAUCGGAACAUGUCCUGUAGUGGGGGAUAGCCCGGCGAAAGCCGGAUUAAUACCUCAUACGAUCUACGGAUGAAAGCGGGGGACCUUCGGGCCUCGCGCUAUAGGGUUGGCCGAUGGCUGCUUAGCUAGUUGGUGGGGUAAAGGCCUACCAAGGCGACGAUCAGUAGCUGGUCUGAGAGGACGACCAGCCACACUGGGACUGAGACACGGCCCAGACUCCUACGGGAGGCAGCAGUGGGGAAUUUUGGACAAUGGGCGAAAGCCUGAUCCAGCAAUGCCGCGUGUGUGAAGAAGGCCUUCGGGUUGUAAAGCACUUUUGUCCGGAAAGAAAUCCUUGGCCCUAAUACGGUCGGGGGAUGACGGUACCGGAAGAAUAAGCACCGGCUAACUACGUG